CCUACGGGUGGCUGCAGUAGGGAAUAUUGCUCAAUGGGGGAAACCCUGAAGCAGCAACGCCGCGUGGAGGAUGAAGGUUUUCGGAUUGUACACUCCUUUUGUUAGAGAAGAUAAUGACGGUAUCUAACGAAUAAGUACGGGCGAAAGCCGGGCCCGCAGCCGAGGUAAUACGAAGGGUGCAAGCGUUAAUAGGAAUCACUGGGCGUAAAGAGCGCGUAGGCGGGAUAGCAAGUCAGAUGUGAAAUCCUAUGGCUUAACCAUAGAACUGCAUUUGAAACUGUUAUUCUAGAGUAUGGGAGAGGUAGGUGGAAGUCCAGGUGUAGGAGUGAAAUCCGUAGAUAUCUGGAGGAACAUCAGUGGCGAAGGCGACUAUCUGGCACAUAACUGACUCUCAUGCACGAAAGCGUGGGUAGCAAACAGGAUUAGAUACCCUUGUAGUC
RNAcentral lists this ribosomal RNA (440 nucleotides) under uncultured bacterium. RNAcentral's name for it is "partial 16S ribosomal RNA". It matches the Rfam family "Bacterial small subunit ribosomal RNA", at positions 338 to 795 of the family's 1533-position model. The record is from RNAcentral.